AGACGUCUACAUUAGAUACCCGGGUAGUCCCAGCCGUAAACUAUGCGCGUUAGGUGUAUCGGUGACCACGAGUCACCGAGGUGCCGAAGGGAACCGUGAAACGUGCCGCCUGGGAAGUACGGUCGCAAGGCUGAAACUUAAAGGAAUUGGCGGGGAGCACCACAACAGGUGGAGCCUGCGGUUUAAUUGGACUCAACGCCGGGAAGCUCACCGGAUAAGACAGCGGAAUGAUUGCCGGGCUGAAGACUCUGCAUGACUAGCUG
This 263-nucleotide ribosomal RNA is filed under the name uncultured archaeon. RNAcentral describes it as "partial 16S ribosomal RNA". It matches the Rfam family "Archaeal small subunit ribosomal RNA", at positions 717 to 982 of the family's 1478-position model. The record is from RNAcentral.